This 400-nucleotide ribosomal RNA is filed under the name uncultured Glomeromycotina. Its description in RNAcentral is "eukaryotic LSU rRNA". Lineage: Eukaryota; Fungi; Glomeromycota. The record is from RNAcentral.
GAAAAGAACUUUGAAAAGAGAGUUAAAUAGCACGUGAAAUUGUUGAAAGGGAAACGAUUGAAGUCAGUCGUACUUACGAGUAAUCAGCUUUUUAAGUGCGAUCUUGUGGGCAGCUGGGCAUUCAAGGGUUUAACCACUUGUUAACCCUUUACGUUCUCAAGUUUGUGCUUUUCGAGCGUAUUUGCUCGUAUGUAGGUUAACAUCAAUUUAGAUCGUUAUAAAAUAACCGGAGGGAUGUAGCUUCGAUCUCGAUUGAAGUGUUAUAGCCUCUGGUAGAUGUAAUGAUUGAGAUUGAGGAUUGCAACGAAAACCCUAAAGGGUUAUCUGUCUGGUCUCUUAUUGUCUCUUUGGUGCCGGAAGCUUGCUUACGGCUAUUGAGGUUGACGAUCAAUGGAUUAGA